This 233-nucleotide ribosomal RNA is filed under the name Achatinella sowerbyana. Its description in RNAcentral is "partial 16S ribosomal RNA". The record is from RNAcentral. Lineage: Eukaryota; Metazoa; Mollusca; Gastropoda; Stylommatophora; Achatinellidae.
UUGAAGUCGAGAAUGAAAGGAAAAAUUGAAAUAAACUGUCUUAAAGGUUUUUUUUAAAAAUUACUAAUAUGGUGAAAAUUCCAUAAUAAAUUUUAAUAGACGAGAAGACCCUAUGAAUUAUAUUAUUAAAAGUUAAAUCGUUUAAUUUUAAUUUUUGUUGGGGCAACAAAGAAUAAAUAAAAAUUCUAAAUUUACUAUUAAUAUUUGAAGUUUUACUAUAAAUAAAUUUAAUU